UCCCUCUUAGCUCAGUUGGUAGAGCGCGUCACUAGUAGAUGCUAUGACGAGGUCAGUCGUUCAAGUCGGCUAGAGGGAA
Molecule: non-coding RNA, 79 nt
Organism: Guyanagaster necrorhizus
Lineage: Eukaryota; Fungi; Basidiomycota; Agaricomycetes; Agaricales; Physalacriaceae
Source: the annotation of a RefSeq genome assembly